CUAUGGGUCGCAGCAGUGAGGAAUAUUGCACAAUGGGGGGAACCCUGAUGCAGCAACGCCGCGUGGAGGAUGACGCAUUUCGGUGUGUAAACUCCUUUUAUAUGUCAAGAAAAUGACGGUAGCAUAUGAAUAAGCACCGGCUAACUCCGUGCCAGCAGCCGCGGUAAUACGGAGGGUGCAAGCGUUACUCGGAAUCACUGGGCGUAAAGGACGCGUAGGCGGGUUGGAAAGUCAGGUAUGAAAUCCUACAGCUUAACUGUAGAACUGCACUUGAAACUUCUAAUCUAGAGUAUGGGAGGGGGAGAUGGAAUUAGUGGUGUAGGGGUAAAAUCCGUAGAUAUCACUAGGAAUACCUAAAGCGAAGGCGAUCUCCUGGAACAUUACUGACGCUAAGGCGUGAAAGCGUGGGGAGCAAACAGGAUUAGAUACCCCCGUAGUC
RNAcentral lists this ribosomal RNA (439 nucleotides) under uncultured bacterium. Its description in RNAcentral is "partial 16S ribosomal RNA". It matches the Rfam family "Bacterial small subunit ribosomal RNA", at positions 339 to 795 of the family's 1533-position model. The record is from RNAcentral.